This 593-nucleotide ribosomal RNA is filed under the name Klebsiella variicola. RNAcentral's name for it is "partial 23S ribosomal RNA". It matches the Rfam family "Bacterial large subunit ribosomal RNA", at positions 890 to 1484 of the family's 2925-position model. The record is from RNAcentral. Lineage: Bacteria; Pseudomonadati; Pseudomonadota; Gammaproteobacteria; Enterobacterales; Enterobacteriaceae.
UCAUCUUCGGGGGUAGAGCACUGUUUCGGCUAGGGGGUCAUCCCGACUUACCAACCCGAUGCAAACUACGAAUACCGAAGAAUGUUAUCACGGGAGACACACGGCGGGGGCUAACGUCCGUCGUGAAGAGGGAAACAACCCAGACCGCCAGCUAAGGUCCCAAAGUCAUGGUUAAGUGGGAAACGAUGUGGGAAGGCACAGACAGCCAGGAUGUUGGCUUAGAAGCAGCCAUCAUUUAAAGAAAGCGUAAUAGCUCACUGGUCGAGUCGGCCUGCGCGGAAGAUGUAACGGGGCUAAACCAUGCACCGAAGCUGCGGCAGCGACGCUUAUGCGUUGUUGGGUAGGGGAGCGUUCUGUAAGCCUGCGAAGGUGGCCUGUGAGGGCUGCUGGAGGUAUCAGAAGUGCGAAUGCUGACAUAAGUAACGAUAAAGCGGGUGAAAAGCCCGCUCGCCGGAAGACCAAGGGUUCCUGUCCAACGUUAAUCGGGGCAGGGUGAGUCGACCCCUAAGGCGAGGCCGAAAGGCGUAGUCGAUGGGAAACAGGUUAAUAUUCCUGUACUUGGUGUUACUGCGAAGGGGGGACGGAGAAGGCUA